GGAGGCCAGCAGGUUGUGCCUCAAAUGACACAGAUUCUCCCUAUUCUCUUACGAGAUGUAGAUUUUCUUAAAUCAAUGUUUCUUCAUUUACUGUAUGCCCUUAACACAUUUUCAGAGACUUUAAAGAGUUGGGUUUUUUAAAAAGAUUUUCCUUUUCCUUUUUCUCCCCAAAGCACCGUGGUACAUAGUUGUAUAUUCUAGUUGUGCGUCCUUCUGGUUGUGGCAUGUGGAACGCCGCCUCAGCGUGGCUUGAGGAGUGUUGCCAUGUCCACGCCCAGGAUCCGAACCAGCAAAACCCUGGGCUGCCUAAGUGCAGCACACGAACCUAACCACUCAGCCACGGGGUCGGCCCCUAGAGUUGGUUUUUUCAAAGUAAUUUCUAUCAGCUAUAGUUGUUUCACUAGGGUGAGGGUUUGCAGAGCUCCUCAUGCCACUAUUCCAGAAAACACAAUGGAUUAGAUUUAUUUAUUGUGUGUGUGUGUGUUUUUAAGAUUGGCACCUGAGCUAACAUCUGUUGCCAAUCUUUUUUUUUUUCUUCUUUUCCCCAAAGCCCCCCAGUACAUAGUUGUAUAUUCUAGUUGUAGGUCCUUCUGGUUAUGCUAUGUGGCACGCCGCCUCAGCAUGGCUUGAUGAGCAGUGCCAUGUCCACGGCCAGGAUCUAAACCAGCGAAACCCUGGGCCGCCUAAGCGGAGUGCACAAACUUAACCACUCAGCCAUGGGGCGGCCUCAGAUUAGAUUUAUUUUUAAACCUCAUGUUCUAUUUAGGACAAAUUGUAUCUUAUGAUUUGGAAGGGACCUCUGACGUCAGUAAGGUCAACCUCUCAAUUAAUGACAUACAUAAACAUGCUUGAAUCAUAGUCCUUUAAUCUCUCCUUGAUGACAAAUAAUUCAUGACUUCCUACACAGGCAACUGGUUUGAUGCUGGGCAGCUUAAAUUAAUAGAAGUUCAUUUUGACCUGUAAUAUGUCUGCAAUUGGUAACAGUUUUGAAAGCAUAUAAACUGAUUCUUUUAUUAAACAGUCCUUCAAAUAUUUGAGACCAGGCAUCUAAUCUCCCUCUACUCUUUUCUUUUUUUUGCUGAGGAAGAUUCACCUUGAGCUAACAUCUAUUGCCAAUAUUCCUCUUUUUUGUGCGUGAGCCACCGCCACAGCAUGGCCACUGACAAGUGGUGUAGGUCUGUGCCAGGAAGUGCACCUGGGCCACUGAAGUGGAGGGCAGCAAACUUAACCACUAGGCUAUCGGCACUGGCCCUUCUCUUUUCUUUUAAAAGAGACAAAUUAGGAGAGACAGCGGACAUCAUACUCAGAGCUGGACUUUGGGGAGCUCUGCUCUCCAACAGACGUCGCUUUAUGGAGCCCUUCGAAACCCUCGAGGUAAACGGAAUUUGCGUCCCCCUCACUCGAGGAACAGGUGCGAGGUGAGGCUGAGAGGGGCCAUGGGAACAGAAUCCGCUUGCCCUGAAGCCUUGCGCUGACACCAGCAGGAAUAUGAACGUGACGUCUUUGAGUGUGUGCUUCUGGAAAGCGUCUCAGUGACAGGACUCAGAACAGCAUCUUGGCGAGGGCCAACACAGGCACCGUGUCGGGAAAAAAUGUUUCUAUCUAGCCCAGGGGUUUGUAUCCUGUCAGAAGUGGACGGCCACAUUCUUCUGUGUGGUUGGGAGUUCUUUUCCAAGUGAAAAUCAGCAUACAAACAGUCCUCUGGUUGCCAUCCUCUGAGAAUUCCAACCUUCCAAAUGGACGCAGCCACCCUGUGGGACGCAGCUUCAGCUCGGUCUUCCAGCCCGACGGCUGCAGUCAGACUCCGCCAUGGGUUUAGGUAAAGCCUUGACUGUGAUGGGAAAGAUCCAGCAUUGUUUCAUGUGCAUGAUCUCAAAUGCAAUGAGUUCCUGUCUGGGGAGCAUCGGAUACUUCACUUCCUAGUCUUGCCCCAUUUUUCCAUCACACGUGUCUUACUAUUGGAGAG
This 1966-nucleotide long non-coding RNA is filed under the name Equus asinus (donkey). Its description in RNAcentral is "lncRNA (ENSEASG00005031892.1)". Lineage: Eukaryota; Metazoa; Chordata; Mammalia; Perissodactyla; Equidae. The record is from RNAcentral.